Molecule: non-coding RNA, 98 nt
Organism: Populus trichocarpa (black cottonwood)
Lineage: Eukaryota; Viridiplantae; Streptophyta; Magnoliopsida; Malpighiales; Salicaceae
Source: Rfam
AAACCAAAUGAUGAAUUUGGAUGUAAAUUUCUCACGAUGGUCAUCUAAGACUCUUCAAGUUUCAGUGUUGAUUCAAUUAUCCAAUGCUCCUGAUGGUU